Molecule: ribosomal RNA, 672 nt
Filed under: Triticum aestivum (bread wheat)
Lineage: Eukaryota; Viridiplantae; Streptophyta; Magnoliopsida; Poales; Poaceae
Description: partial small subunit ribosomal RNA
Source: RNAcentral
AUGUGGGGUUUAAGUGACCCGACGACGAAGCAGCUGCAGGAAUGGGAGGCGUGUGUCCACUGUGACGUGGCAGGCCGCUGUUCGGGGAUGACCGCCGGCAGGGUGCCGGCGGUAGCUCAGUGCGCGAGCUGUGGCUGCUACUCCACGAGUGGGAGAAGGGAGCGAACAGAUGGCUAUGGCGAUAAUAAUGAGUAUGACAAUGGGGGGCCAGUUAUUGACGUGGGUGGAAAAAUUGUCGUAAUGGUCAAAGUCCCUAAGAGAUUUGGGUUUUUCAUACCUUCUUCCAUUUUGCUCAAUUGUUUGGAUUCAUGGAAGAAAUAUCCCCACAUCACCCGGCCCCAUCUUGGAAUGAUGUUUAAAGACAUCAAACUUCUAGAACCUGCUCAUGUUGACAUGUUAUGGCGUACGUUUAACAUUGAUGAUGGUCUUAUUGUUCAAGAGGUAGGAUCUCCUACUGAGAAAUUUGGAAUCCAAAAAGGUGAUAUUAUUGAAUCUUUCAACGGAAAGCCUAUUUCUUCCACAAUUGAGUUGGAAAAUACGCUGAUGAGCAUAUACAAAGGCCCUUUAGAAUCUGAAGUUCAUAUUUCUGUCCUACAAACUCUUGAACUGGCUGCCAAGUCGAGGAAGGAUGUUUCUAUGUUGUGUUGUAUUGUGAUGCAUAUUUACCUGUGA